This is a long non-coding RNA of Labeo rohita (rohu), 494 nucleotides long. RefSeq lists it as uncharacterized. The transcript is spliced from 3 exons. The record is from RefSeq and is a predicted model, not a curated record. NCBI's taxonomy places the organism in Eukaryota, Metazoa, Chordata, Actinopteri, Cypriniformes, Cyprinidae.
UGAGCACUGAGGCAGAGCCAGACGGUCACUUUGGAAAAUAAGCUCCGGAUACCCACACUCCAAGAGAAGGACUGAAAAAAGCUGAAUCAAAUACAGACGCUCAGAAAAGAAGUGGGCAGUGGUGUAAUGCAAGUCUUGGACUCCCCACGGGAAUCGUGGUCUUUUCAGAAAAAUGUCAACCACAUACACCGCCGUUCAAAAGUUUGGGCUCGAUAGGACAGUGGAGUUGGACAGGAAGCGAAGUGGGAGAGAGAGGAAGGGGUGGCUCAGGAAAGGUCCACAAGCUGGGAUUCAAACUCAGGUUGCCUGCAGUGCAAUGCUGCUAUAUGUCGGCGGGCUAACCACAAGGCUAUUGGUGCCAACUGCCCUGUGACUUUUAUUAAUAAAGUAGCCUAGUUAUUGGAUCGCUCCAUUAUAUUUCUCAGUAACGAAGUGGUAAAAUUGCUGUAUUUGAAGUAACUAAACAGUAACUAAACUAGUCAUUGUUUGUAGAG